Molecule: ribosomal RNA, 303 nt
Filed under: uncultured bacterium
Lineage: Bacteria
Description: partial 16S ribosomal RNA
Rfam family: Bacterial small subunit ribosomal RNA
Source: RNAcentral
AGCAGUAGCCGCGGUAACACGAAGGGUGCAAGCGUUAAUCGGAAUUACUGGGCGUAAAGCGUGCGUAGGCGGUUUGUUAAGUCUGUUGUGAAAUCCCAGGGCUCAACCUGGGAAUGGCAAUGGAUACCGGCAAGCUAGAGUGUGUCAGAGGAUGGUGGAAUUCCCGGUGUAGCGGUGAAAUGCGUAGAGAUCGGGAGGAACAUCAGUGGCGAAGGCGGCCAUCUGGGACAACACUGACGCUGAGGCACGAAAGCGUGGGGAGCAAACAGGAUUAGAUACCCCAGUAGUCCCUGUCUCUUAUAC